CUGGUUCGGUGUUUGCAUCCCGAACGUGGAGCUGAAAAUCCGAGGGGCCCAUUUCCAAGGGGAGCAGCUUUGGUGAGAGGCCUGUGUCUGAUCACUUCCACCUGCUCCCCCUUCUCCCCAGGUCACAAAGAGGGCAGUGAGGUGGAAAGUGGCCAGCACUGGGGAUGGGCCCACGCGAGUGUGGACAGGUUUGCAGUGCUGUAUCACCUGUGGACUUGGGAAGCCACUCUUCUGGAAAACAAGCGCCAGCUUCUUGAUAGCUACUUCGAAGCGUACCAGCACACGCUGGAUCCUCAAGAGAGGUUGGCCUUAGCUCAAGUGAUGACUGACAUCAUGCACCGGCGCCCCAGGUUCGAUCUCGGCCACGCCUAUUUCAUUAAGGCCUACCAAGAGGAGUGCACCUGCCUGAGGUUUCACCUGCAGCUAGUGAGGCGCAUCCUCCACCAGCAGAUAGAGUGUCAGCGGGAAUAUGUCCAGAGGCUUUGGCGAGAAGAUCAUCUCGAUCUUGAUGAUAGGAAUAAAUUCGGCCUUCCCCUCAACAUCAUUUGCAAACAAUUGAUUUCCAUCAACAACAGCUGCCCAGCUUUGGAAGACAUUUAUCUGCUGGAGUUCCAUCCUUCUCUUGGCCUGGCUGCACUCAUCCCCAAAGCCCUGGACUACCUCCUCCAGGAAGCCUGCCGGGCCUCUAGACCCACAACAGCCAGCGGCCUUGCCCUGCUAGAGCGACGCAUCCUGCGGCUGGCCCUGGACCUGUGCUUUGCCCCGACCCAGCCUGAGACCUGGUACAGUGUGCGGCUCCAGACAGAGCUGUUUUCGGCUAAAGUGAUGGGAGAUCCCUUUCUCGUGGAAGAGAUAGGCCUGCUGGCUCUCCAGCCUGCAGCAGCAGCAGGACAGGAACGAGGGCUGGGGCCUCCUGUGCUGCCCCUGGACACGUUCGCCAGACUCCUGGAGCUCUUGACCCUCCGCCACCGGCUGAUAGAAGCGAGUCUGCAGAGUGCGCACUUAGCUCGGUCAGUAGAGGCGUGGGUGCCGGGGCACCAGAAGCUCUGUGGAAAGGCGUGGGGAGCUGUAGACCACGGGGCUCCCUGUCCACAAACCUUGCCCCACUGCCCUGCCCCAGAACAGCCACAGUGGGUCAUUUAUUCAUUUAUUAAAGUUGUUAUAUAG
RNAcentral lists this long non-coding RNA (1167 nucleotides) under Oryctolagus cuniculus (rabbit). RNAcentral's name for it is "lncRNA (ENSOCUG00000038642.1)". Lineage: Eukaryota; Metazoa; Chordata; Mammalia; Lagomorpha; Leporidae. The record is from RNAcentral.